GAAGAGACAGAUGGAAAGAAUGAACA
RNAcentral lists this non-coding RNA (26 nucleotides) under Rattus norvegicus (Norway rat). Lineage: Eukaryota; Metazoa; Chordata; Mammalia; Rodentia; Muridae. The record is from RNAcentral.